Molecule: long non-coding RNA, 1104 nt
Filed under: Oryctolagus cuniculus (rabbit)
Lineage: Eukaryota; Metazoa; Chordata; Mammalia; Lagomorpha; Leporidae
Description: lncRNA (ENSOCUG00000036464.1)
Source: RNAcentral
AUGGCACACAGGGCCAGGGCACCAUUGUGUCACACAGCACACACGGCCAGGGCACCAUCCUGUCACAUGGUACACACAGCCAGGGCACCAUCCUGUCACACGGCACACACAGCCAGGGCACCAUCGUGUCACAUGGUACACACAGCCAGGGCACCAUCCUGUCACACAGCACACACGGCCAGGGCACCAUCGUGUCACAUGGUACACACAGCCAGGGCACCAUCCUGUCACACGGCACACAUGGCCAGGGCACCACUCCUGUCACACGGCACACAUGGCCAGGGCACCAUCGUGUCACACAGCACACACGGCCAGGGCACCAUCCUGUCACAUGGUACACACAGCCAGGGCACCAUCCUGUCACACGGCACACACGGCCAGGGCACCAUCGUGUCACAUGGUACACACAGCCAGGGCACCAUCCUGUCACACGGCACACACAGCCAGGGUACCAUCGUGUCACACGGGUACACACAGCCAGGGCACCAUCCUGUCACACGGCACACACAGCCAGGGCACCAUCGUGUCACAUGGUACACACAGCCAGGGCACCAUCCUGUCACAUGGCACACAGGGCCAGGGCACCAUCGUGUCACAUGGUACACACAGCCAGGGCACCAUCCUGUCACAUGGCACACAGGGCCAGGGCACCAUCGUGUCACACAGCACACACGGCCAGGGCACCAUCCUGUCACAUGGUACACACAGCCAGGGCACCAUCCUGUCACACGGCACACACAGCCAGGGCACCAUCCUGUCACAUGGUACACACAGCCAGGGCACCAUCCUGUCACAUGGCACACACAGCCAGGGCUGUGCAGUCUCUAUUUUUCCUCUACACCUGCACCAGACCGUCAAGGCCUCUUCUGGGAAACAGGAGUGCUCACAAGUGCUGUAAUAGGUGGUCGUGGGGACGAAUCACAGCCAGUGCUUACAGCCCUUUCUGCAUGCCAGACUGUGCUGAGCAUUUUACAGAAAACUUACAUUCCAGUAACUCUACAAAAUGGAAAGUGUCAUCAUGGCUGCUUUACAGAGGCCGCAGCUGAGGCUCGGCAAGGCUCAGCUUGCCCGAGGUCGUGUACCCAAGAGUGUGGAGCAGGGUGA